Long non-coding RNA from Maylandia zebra (zebra mbuna), 191 nucleotides. RefSeq lists it as uncharacterized. NCBI's taxonomy places the organism in Eukaryota, Metazoa, Chordata, Actinopteri, Cichliformes, Cichlidae. The record is from RefSeq and is a predicted model, not a curated record.
GCUGCCCUUCCCCUCGUAAUCCUGUUUAAAUCUUCAACCUGCUGUCUCCCUGGGUAAAGUACUAGAGCAAUAAAGCUGCCUCUUGGAGUUUAUUCCCCUGUCUCUGAGUCCUGUGUUUGGGUCCUGCCUUGCCUGCCACACAGCACCAUCAUAACAGCACUGCUUCUAAUGAUGGAAGGGAGAUACUUGCC